Molecule: long non-coding RNA, 3264 nt
Organism: Meleagris gallopavo (turkey)
Lineage: Eukaryota; Metazoa; Chordata; Aves; Galliformes; Phasianidae
Source: RefSeq, a predicted model, not a curated record
ACACCCACUUGGAGUCACACAUCCCUCCCUCCCGCCCUGCUUGCUGCAGCUUUGCCAAAUGCAAACAUUUUCACAGCAUCAGCCUCUGAAUUUGUGCAGUUGGCUUCAGAUACCUGAGGUGGUUGGUUUGUUCUGAAAUCCUCUUUCAUUCUGUUUGGUGCCUGCUGCCGGACCCCAUCCACACACACUUCUCCAUCAACUGAAUGAAUUGUGGAGGGCCUUGCAGAAAACAUGCAGCAUCGGAACAUUUGCAGUUUAUCAUAGGAGCUUUCAAGAGUUGUUGUCAGCACGGUAUGCAAGAUGUACACAAACCACCCCCAGCAACUGCUCCUUCCUGAAUGGUCUGUCCUGAAAUGACAGCAGUGUGUGGAGAUGCCUGGCCUGGCACAGAGCUGCAGUGGGAGGCAAAGCUCAGCCCGCUGCCAGCUUGAGAGGCAUGGGGUUGGAUGAGGAUAACGCACCUGCACAAGAACAUCUGCUCCUCCAUACCCAGCGCUGGGUGCAGGAUGUGCAGCACACUGUGGGACUGUGGCUGCCCGUGCCUGGCUGAGGAGAAGGCAGCAGCUCUGCUCCCUUCCUGCUGCGGAGGAGGCUCCAGCUUGGCACUGCCAGGUCAGUGCUUUCUAGGGGCCAUGGUUUUCAUCCUGUGGUUUUGGGAAGACAAUGAGUGAGCUGGACAGAGGCAGGAGAGCUGCCCAUGCUGCUUCUGACUUGGGUUUUGGCCACACUGGGCACCUCCUCGGCUGUGCUUUCAGCUCCCUUCCAUCUUUCUUCCCAUGCAGCUGCUGUUUAGACCCUGCUGACAUCGUGUCACUGUGCUCACUGCCUUACACAUCCCCUGAUUUCCUUUCCCCUCUUCCUCCAGUAGCAGGAGAGAUCUCUGUCAGGUCAAGAUCCUAUACAUGUAGCAGAGGCACAAUGGAAUAUUUUCCCAAAGCUCCAGCUCCUCUAGUCUGGUGUGAGCAUUAUGCUGUCAGACACCUCAGCCACCACAUUAAAAAAUAAUUUGGGGGAAAAAAAAUGUAUCUUGGGAGUGGAGUCAUCAGGAUUCCCCUAUGGUUUGUAGCUGAGCUUAAACUGAAACUCAAUAGGUUCAGGAUUUAUCCUCCCUUCCUUUCCCUGUAAUCAAACACCUGCCUAACGAGCCUUGUUUAAUCAAGUAUCUUCUGUAUAGUAACAAGAGGAAUGCAGAUCUCCUCUGCUCAGCCAGGGCUCGCUGUGGCUGUGCAGAUCAAUAUGCAGUGACUCACAAGGGGACAAGGCUGGCUCUAUGGCAAUGCCAAGAAUGCUGGUGUUUGUCGUUAUAUGAUUUUUUUUUUUCUGUGAUGAGAUUAGCACCGAAGGUUUUUUUUCCUUUGGAGGAUCCCUAAGGUAGUGUCUCAUUAUGUAAAGCAUCCAAACAGCAAAGGCCUGUUGCUCUUCAGCUAAUUAGCCCCAACCUUUCAGUUUCCCCACCUGGAGGUGGGCAAGAUUUGUGGGAGAGGUGGCCCAGGUCAGCUUGUGCCUGCAGAAAGCUAGAGAAGAUCCGGGCACUAAGAGUGGAUGCUGUCAGCGAGCCUACCUGUGGAUGGGGGUUCAGAGCAGUUUAAGAUGUUUCCUAGGGGCACCUGAGGUGCUUGGUGUGGUUGGCAGGAAACACUUCCCCAGCAGAGUGGCUGGAAUGAUCAGCAUUCACUCUGUCUUGGCCUCAGGUAAUUAGCAACUUCCUGGUCUGCGCCCUCAGCCUGCCCUGCAGAUAAAGGCUGUAAUGCUGUUUGAUUGUGAUAACAGAGAGCCAGACCUGGCCCUCCUCUUUUUGAAUCUUAAUCUCCUGAUGCAGUGACUUCACACUGUAGUAGGGGAGGACACUUCUCAAACUGGGGUCCUGUGACUGCGUGCCUUCAAGUUGAAGCCUCUCUGAGCUGCUGAUGGUGGAAGAAGCAGCCUCCAAAUAUGCCAGCCUGCAAUAUCUGCGCUGGGGAGCUGUGGCCUCGAUCCUUGCAGAGCCUUUUGUGGUGUGCAGCUGCUUUGAGCUCUGCUGUAACUUGAAAAGCUUUGCAGCCCAGAGCUGGGGAACUGGGCUGAUGCUGUCCUUGGCUCCAAAGCCUUCCUAGAUGGUGCCAGCUGUCAAACAACUCCUGAGUAACGAGAGCCUUCCACGUCAACCAUUCGUUCCUGUUCCCUGGAGCCUGUAGGCCAGCUUCACUUCCCUCAGCCACAAGCACAGUGUCCCUGCUGAGGGGAUACACACUCAGUUAUCCCCUUUCCUUGUGCAGCUCUGAUGUGCCAAACCAGGGCCAGGCCCCUCCUGGGACGCUGCCUCCCCUCCUGAGCAUCUGUGCAGCUUGGUCUUAUCAAAUGUUUCGAUUUCUGCGAAAUCUGGUUUGUCAGACAUGGUGGGUCCUGACAAAGAAAGGGAAAGCACACCCGGCUCUGUUAGCUCGUGCUGUGCUAUUGGCCAUCUGCAAGGCAAAGUCUGCUGCAAAAGUGAAGAAAUGCGGUAAAAGUGUUUAUUCAAAAACAAACACAGAUCUCACGCCUCAAUCUGGGACCGCUCCCCAAAGCUUGGUGCUCUCAGAGCAGAAGAGGAAAGACGUGAGUAGAAUUUAAUAUAGAUUUCUCAGCAUCAGUUUCUAAAAGUCAUAUUUUGAACACAGAAACAAAACUAAAUACAGACAAUGCAUUCAGAGAAUAACCCACAGUACCUCCUGACCUGAACUGCUUCUUUGAGGAAUGCUGAUACCCAGAAAUUCUGCAGUAAGCCACAAAUCCGACAUGCACAAAUAGUUUCAAUAACGGUUUUGUUUUCAUUAAUAGGCUUUUUCUAUAAUUCUGAGUACACUGCCCUAAGUCGGUCCCGCAGCAAGGGGGAUUAGCUGCUGUGUGCAUUUGUGCCCGACAAUAGGAGGGCUGCUUCGCAGGGUCCUUUGUUUGCUCUCGCACUCAAUAUUUGAGUCGGUGCAUUCGAUUGGACCCCAUUAUAACAGAUAUUCACAAAGCACACCAGCAUUAAACGCUGCACUGGCAAACCAUCCCUCAUCGAGUUCCCAUUUUUAAUAGGAAUUCAAGCUAAAAUCCAUCCCAUGCAUUGUUCUGCUGAGCUCAGCAGAGGUUCUACCAAGGAUGGAUCGGCCUGCGGGCUGCUGGCAGGCGUAUACCUCUUCCUUCCUUAAGGCAACCUGAUUCUAUUCCUAUCUGCUCUGAGACAACAGAAGUAAAUAUUCACAAGGAAAAAAAAAAAACAAAACAUCAAAAAAAGCCAAAGCAAAGCUACUGAAAGCACAU